GGGGCUGUAGCUCAGCUGGGAGAGCGCCUGACUGGCAGUCAGGAGGUCAGGGGUUCGAUCCCCCUCAGCUCCA
Molecule: non-coding RNA, 73 nt
Organism: Chondromyces apiculatus DSM 436
Lineage: Bacteria; Pseudomonadati; Myxococcota; Polyangiales; Polyangiaceae
Source: Rfam